Long non-coding RNA from Passer montanus (Eurasian tree sparrow), 2111 nucleotides. RefSeq lists it as uncharacterized. The record is from RefSeq and is a predicted model, not a curated record. The transcript is spliced from 4 exons. Lineage: Eukaryota; Metazoa; Chordata; Aves; Passeriformes; Passeridae.
CUUUCAGCCAGCACCAGCUUUUGCUCCACCAGGAAUGCUAUCAUCAUCCUGCUGUAGACUUCUAUCCACCUUCGCUUCUCCCAUGAUUCAUCAUCAAAUUCUACACAAAUCUACAGAAAAGAACCAGACUGGAGAACACAUCAAGUCAAUCGCUUCUGGCAGAACCGUAACCAGCCACAAAGCUCACAAUAGAGACCCCAUCAGCACCUGCUUCUUCUCCUCUGAGGACAAAGUCCCUAAGAGUUUUCUGCAGCAAGAACCUCCUCCUCACGACCAGCACGGCACAGGGCACAGCCCCGCGCCCAAAAAUGGACAAAGCUCCACCCCUGCCGAGAACCACAACAACAGGCUGAUAACAAAGUUUACGCUUUCAAGAAACAGUUAGAAACAUCCAAAGUUUCGUUUUGCUUGACAAGAGAGGUCACUAAAUUGCCAUCAAAAAAGAGGAAGAUGGUGAUGUUCUGGCUGUCACAGGACAGCCAUCGAAGUCUUCUGUAGAAACAAGCACAGGACGCCGCUGCUACAAUGGAGUUUUGUCCUUGGGGUCAAGCACUCAGUUCAUUCCCUAGCAGAGGAACCGCUUCCCUACGAGCAGCGACCAGCUCCCCUCGAGCCUCAGCACCAUUUUAACUCAUCGGGAGGCCUUCAGCGAGGAAAGCGACGGAAGGAGGAGAGAAACACAUAGGGCAGGGCGGUGAGCGCUUCCUCCUUCCUCUCCCGGCCGCCCGCCCCGCUUCUCCAAGCGGCUCCAGCCGGACCCCCGGACACCCACAGUUUAAAGCCAUUCCCAAUGAGAACCAAGAAGGAAAACAGAGAAUAUGACAUGAUCUGGGUGGUGCUGUUCAGCAGUGACCCAAACGACACACGUACUCCUCUACUGUAAGACUUGCCCACCAGAGCAUGUGGGAGGAAAAGACCAAAAGUGCAGAAAGUACCCAAGGCAAAGAAGCUGUUGACUCAUCCAGUUUACUGAAGUCUCACGGUGCUCAGUUUUGGCUUUCUACAGGGUUCCUUCCAUCACCAGAGAUGUCUGAGCUUCAAAAACUCCCAUUAGAGAAUGCUGCGGUAAUUCUGCCAUGUUGUGGUCUCAUCCAUCAUUUUCUCCAAGAAUCCAUUUCCACACUUGGGUUAAAUGUAUUUUUAAAGCCUUUCUCACCAAUUUGCUUUCACCAAUCAUUUGCUUGCUACAUUUAAACAAACACAUUCAUAUAUGAAAUCAAAAAGCUCAAAAAAUUCCUCAUGUGCCAUGAUGAGGAAAUUGCUGUCUACUCCAUGGAAAUCAGACAGUCCAAUUUCUUUUACAACUGUAGGGAAUCUCCAAUGAUUUCUAUCAAUGAGAUGAAUUUAGUAAUUGCUACAAUUUUCAGCAGGGAGAAACAAAAGAAAUAAAAGUGAAUAAUAAAAAAAUGAUAGAUCAGCAACUGUAUGCAGUCUGAAGAGCCACUCAUUAGCUAGCGCUGAAAGAAAAAAGAGGUAUGUUUGCUUCUCAGAUUUAAAUGUUUACUAUAUAAACCAGACCUGCAAGAUGGAAUUUAUGAUAUCAUAGAAAACAAGAUAGAUGUGAAACUGCCAAAUGAUUUGUUUCAUUGUAGACUUUAGGCUCGUGUAGCAGUAGCUGUACAAUUGACACAUCACACCAUGUAGGUGUUGCAUAACCUCAUUAUUUAAAGCCCUUAGAUUUUCUGCAGAGAGAACACUUUGCCUCAAAGAGUAGAUGAUUAAUACAUGCAGGAAGAGGGAUGUCAGGCUAUAAUGAAGCAAUAUUAGUCAAUGUAAUAGAUCAAGCUGUUGGUAGCACUCCAGUUGCCUAAUAGUAUUUUUUUUUCCAUUAGCAUCAGAAUAAAGGAAGGCUUUAAGGAGAGAUUGGAACGACAACAAUGUAAGUUUAGUGAAUGAGCAGCUCCCACAUGCAAAGAAUGGCAUGGAGGUUGGUCAAAGGUGUUUUAAAUUUAAUGUUUUGGGUAAGUCAUGGGCUGGAAUGCUGGAAAAACAGGAUUACAUAGUCCAUUAAUGUCCUUGAAAAUGAACUUCUAUAGGAAAGGAUGCUAAAAGAUUAUGUGAUCAAAGAGCAGCAUUCUGAAUGAAUAAAAUAAAAUAAAAUAAAAUAAAAU